CCUACGGGAGACAGCAGUGAGGAAUAUUGGUCAAUGGCCGCAGGGCUGAACCAGCCAAGUCGCGUGAGGGAUGACGGUCCUAUGGAUUGUAAACCUCUUUUGUCAGGGAGCAAAGGGCGCCACGUGUGGCGCUUUGCGAGUACCUGAAGAAAAAGCAUCGGCUAACUCCGUGCCAGCAGCCGCGGUAAUACGGAGGAUGCGAGCGUUAUCCGGAUUUAUUGGGUUUAAGGGGUGCGCAGGCGGAAUGUCAAGUCAGCGGUAAAAUUUCGGGGCUCAACCCCGUCGUGCCGUUGAAACUGGCGUUCUUGAGUGAGCGAGAGGUAUGCGGAAUGCGUGGUGUAGCGGUGAAAUGCAUAGAUAUCACGCAGAACUCCGAUUGCGAAGGCAGCAUACCGGCGCUCAACUGACGCUCAUGCACGAAAGCGUGGGUAUCGAACAGGAUUAGAUACCCGGGUAGUC
This 459-nucleotide ribosomal RNA is filed under the name uncultured bacterium. RNAcentral's name for it is "partial 16S ribosomal RNA". It matches the Rfam family "Bacterial small subunit ribosomal RNA", at positions 338 to 795 of the family's 1533-position model. The record is from RNAcentral.